RNAcentral lists this non-coding RNA (1661 nucleotides) under Pongo abelii (Sumatran orangutan). Lineage: Eukaryota; Metazoa; Chordata; Mammalia; Primates; Hominidae. The record is from RNAcentral.
AGAAGCAGGAAUAAAAUGAUCCUUUUCUAUUUCCAUGAUUUUUUAUGUUUUUAUUUAAAUGGUUAAAUACCCAAUUAGGUUAGAUGCUAAUUAAAUGUAAAAUUACUGGGCUGUUCCAAUAUGCAUGUUAAAGUUGUACUUCUUGGUUGUUUGUAAUUUACCUAACUCUUGAGAGAUCAUCAGAGCAGCCCAGCUGAGUUUAAAGAAGGCUUCCAACUGCCCAGGAUAUGCAUCAGUUCCUGAACAAAUAAAGAACACCCCAGGAUCAACAGAAGCUACUAUCAAAUCCUUCAAACACUACAUGCACCACAUGCUCACAUUUGUCCUGUUUUUGCUACUAUUUAUCCACAAAAAAGCCAAGCCUGAACUCCUUCUUGAGGCCAAAACUUAAAAAUAUACCAAAUGAAUCAGUUCAAAAUUUUACAAAUUUGGUUUGGCUUAAUCAUAACUGAUUCUUCAUACUACUGACACCAUUGAUUCUUCACACUGUAGAUACCACUCACUAAAAUUACAACUCAGUCACCUCUUCCCAUAUACCAUAUUUCAUUAAAAUCAAUGUAAGAUAACAAAUGGUUACCAGAUGCCAUCGUUUCAGACCAAACCAUAUGUCAAAUUUUGAAUAAAUCUAACAACACCUGAUUGGUUAAGUAGCACACCUAGAUUUAUUAAAAUCACUAUACUCCUUUAAUGUCUGUAGGAGAACAUGCAUGCACAAGCACACACACACACAUUGUGUGUGCAUUAUAUAUAUAUAUAUAUGCUACUGCAAAGUUGAAAAGAGACUUUACCAAGUUCUGUCAUUGACAGGGACAUUAUAUAUAAAGAAUAUACAUAUUGUAAUUCACCUCAUCAAGAGUUAAUUUUAUGGCCGGGCACAGUGGCUCACACCUGUAAUCCUAACACUUUGGGAGGCAGAUCACUUUGAGCUCAGGAGAUUUGAGACCAGCCUGGGCAACGUGGCAAAAACCCAUCUCUACAAAAAAAUAUAAAAAUGAGCUGGGCGUGGUGACUCCCGCCUGUAGUCCCAGCUGUAUACAUGGGAGGCUGAGGCUGGAGGAUUGCUUGAGCCAGCUAGCAGAGGUUGCAGUGAGCCAAGAUUGUACCACUGCACUCUGGCCUGGGUUACAGAGCAAGACCUUGUCUCAAAAAAAAAAGAGUUAAUUGUACCAGGAACAUGUGGUGUCAAAAUUUAAAAUAUGUGAACUCUUUGACCCAGCAAUGCUAUUUUCAGGGAUAUAUCCUAAGAUCGUCACCAGUAAAGUAUAUAAAGAUGUGCAUGCAAGAAUAUUCAUCAUAGCUUUCUUUAUACAAUGAAAAAUUGGAAAUAAACUUCUCAUUAAUGGGAUGCUGGUUAAAGAAAAUCAUUAAUGUAAUAUGCAGCCAUCUAAAAGGAUAAUUUAUAUGUAUAUAUAUUUACAUAAGAAAACCCUCAUGUCAUAUUGCUGAGUAAAAAGAAAGAUGUCAAUGAGUAUUCAUGAUGUGAUUCUAUUUAUCCUUGCAAAUGGCGGAAAUUCAAUUAUAUGGUAUUUUCUCUCUUUUCUAUUUGUUUUUCAUAUAUGUAUAUAUUUCCUUUGAAAUCAGAAAAAAAAUCAAGCUAUUUUCAUCAGAGGAAAAAAAUCAUUACUCUGUAUUUCAGUCACACUAAAAUAGUCACCCAAGAA